Molecule: microRNA precursor, 202 nt
Filed under: Oryza nivara
Lineage: Eukaryota; Viridiplantae; Streptophyta; Magnoliopsida; Poales; Poaceae
Description: MIR812 microRNA precursor family
Rfam family: MIR812 microRNA precursor family
Source: Rfam by way of RNAcentral
UAUAAGGGAUUUUGAGUUUUUACUUGCAACGUUUGACCACUCGUCUUAUUCAAAUUUUUUUAAAACUAUUAUUUAUUUUAUUUGUGACUUACUUUAUUAUCUACAGAACUUUAAGCACAACUUUUCGUCUUUUAUAUUUGAAAAAAAUUUUGAAUAAGACGAGUGGUUAAACGUUACAAUCAAAAACUCAAAAUCUCUUAUA